RNAcentral lists this ribosomal RNA (492 nucleotides) under uncultured bacterium. RNAcentral's name for it is "partial 16S ribosomal RNA". It matches the Rfam family "Bacterial small subunit ribosomal RNA", at positions 29 to 507 of the family's 1533-position model. The record is from RNAcentral.
AGUGAACGCUGGCGGUAGGCCUAACACAUGCAAGUCGAACGGCAGCACAGUAAGAGCUUGCUCUUACGGGUGGCGAGUGGCGGACGGGUGAGGAAUACAUCGGAAUCUUCUUUUUCGUGGGGGAUAACGUAGGGAAACUUACGCUAAUACCGCAUACGUCCUACGGGUGAAAGCAGGGGAUCUUCGGACCUUGCGCGAUUGAAUGAGCCGAUGUCGGAUUAGCUAGUUGGCGGGGUAAAGGCCCACCAAGGCGACGAUCCGUAGCUGGUCUGAGAGGAUGAUCAGCCACACUGGAACUGAGACACGGUCCAGACUCCUACGGGAGGCAGCAGUGGGGAAUAUUGGACAAUGGGCGAAAGCCUGAUCCAGCCAUACCGCGUGGGUGAAGAAGGCCUUCGGGUUGUAAAGCCCUUUUGUUAGGAAAGAAAAGCAGCAGGUUAAUACCCCGAUGUUCUGACGGUACCCAAAGAAUAAGCACCGGCUAACUUCGUG